This 459-nucleotide ribosomal RNA is filed under the name uncultured bacterium. RNAcentral describes it as "partial 16S ribosomal RNA". It matches the Rfam family "Bacterial small subunit ribosomal RNA", at positions 338 to 795 of the family's 1533-position model. The record is from RNAcentral.
CCUACGGGUGGCAGCAGUGAGGAAUAUUGGUCAAUGGGCGCGAGCCUGAACCAGCCAAGUCGCGUGCGGGAAGACGGUCCUAUGGAUUGUAAACCUCUUUUGUCGGGGAGCAAAAGACGCCACGCGUGGCGUUCCGAGAGUACACGAAGAAAAAGCAUCGGCUAACACCGUGCCAGCAGCCGCGGUAAUACGGAGGAUGCGAGCGUUAUCCGGAUUUAUUGGGUUUAAAGGGUGCGCAGGCGGAAGAUCAAGUCAGCGGUAAAAUUGAGAGGCUCAACCUCUUCGAGCCGUUGAAACUGGUUGUCUUGAGUGAAUUAGAGGUAUGCGGAAUGCGUGGUGUAGCGGUGAAAUGCAUAGAUAUCACGCAGAACUCCGAUUGCGAAGGCAGCAUACCGGCGCUCAACUGACGCUCAUGCACGAAAGUGUGGGUAUCGAACAGGAUUAGAUACCCGGGUAGUC